This 101-nucleotide ribosomal RNA is filed under the name Citrobacter freundii. Its description in RNAcentral is "partial 23S ribosomal RNA". It matches the Rfam family "Bacterial large subunit ribosomal RNA", at positions 2825 to 2925 of the family's 2925-position model. The record is from RNAcentral. RNAcentral also lists the same sequence under 1 other name. Lineage: Bacteria; Pseudomonadati; Pseudomonadota; Gammaproteobacteria; Enterobacterales; Enterobacteriaceae.
UCCUGAAGGAACGUUAAAGACGAUGACGUUGAUAGGUCGGGUGUGUAAGCGUAGCGAUACGUUGAGCUAACCGAUACUAAUGAACCGUGAGGCUUAACCUU